CAGUCGCCACGGUAAUACGUAGGGUGCAAGCGUUAAUCGGAAUUACUGGGCGUAAAGCGUGCGCAGGCGGUUAUAUAAGUCAGAUGUGAAAUCCCCGGGCUCAACCUGGGAACUGCAUUUGAGACUGUAUGGCUAGAGUGUGUCAGAGGGGGGUAGAAUUCCACGUGUAGCAGUGAAAUGCGUAGAUAUGUGGAGGAAUACCGAUGGCGGAGGCAGCCCCCUGGGAUAACACUGACGCUCAUGCACGAAAGCGUGGGGAGCAAACAGGAUUAGAUACCCCCGUAGUCCCUGUCUCUUAUAC
This 301-nucleotide ribosomal RNA is filed under the name uncultured bacterium. RNAcentral describes it as "partial 16S ribosomal RNA". It matches the Rfam family "Bacterial small subunit ribosomal RNA", at positions 509 to 807 of the family's 1533-position model. The record is from RNAcentral.